CUGAGGGAAGAACCAUCAUGACGAAGUCAUGAUCUUAUAAUGUUCCGACCGAUAGGCCACCGAACGAAUGUGAGGGGGCAAUACCUAUU
This 89-nucleotide small RNA is filed under the name unclassified sequences. Its description in RNAcentral is "GA-cis RNA". It matches the Rfam family "GA-cis RNA". The record is from Rfam by way of RNAcentral.